GUUCGGAUCUGUACAUUUUAAUGUUUGCAGUUAUGUUCCAAUUUGAAAAUUCUUCUUUAAGGUAGAAAUCUACCACCCGAAAGGAUUAGAAUGCAUGCUCCUCAUCUUGAUAGCUGUAUCUCUGUGUUCAACAUGGCUGCCAUAAACUGGAUAUUGAUAUCUAUGAGUAAGUUAUCGACAUUUCCUUAGAACCCUAUCUACUUUGUAUUUUUCUUGCAUGUCUAAUUUAUGCCUAUGUAAUAUAGAUAUCAAGUAAUGAAACCAUAUCAUUCAUUCUAUAAAUAUGCUUUUUCCUUAUCAAUUUCUGUU
This 309-nucleotide long non-coding RNA is filed under the name Pan paniscus (pygmy chimpanzee). RNAcentral describes it as "lncRNA (ENSPPAG00000045341.1)". Lineage: Eukaryota; Metazoa; Chordata; Mammalia; Primates; Hominidae. The record is from RNAcentral.